GACGUAGGGCGCGAGCGUUGUCCGGAUUUAUUGGGCGUAAAGAGCUCGUAGGCGGCUUGUUGCGUCGACUGUGAAAACCCGCGGCUUAACUGCGGGCUUGCAGUUGAUACGGGCAGGCUAGAGUUCGGUAGGGGAGACUGGAAUUCCUGGUGUAGCGGUGAAAUGCGCAGAUAUCAGGAGGAACACCGGUGGCGAAGGCGGGUCUCUGGGCCGAUACUGACGCUGAGGAGCGAAAGCGUGGGGAGCGAACAAG
Molecule: ribosomal RNA, 253 nt
Filed under: uncultured bacterium
Lineage: Bacteria
Description: partial 16S ribosomal RNA
Rfam family: Bacterial small subunit ribosomal RNA
Source: RNAcentral